Molecule: non-coding RNA, 96 nt
Organism: Acanthosepion pharaonis
Lineage: Eukaryota; Metazoa; Mollusca; Cephalopoda; Sepiida; Sepiidae
Source: the annotation of a GenBank genome assembly
UAAAAAACUGGUUCUUGUCUGAACACCAAAGUUAAGCAAUGUUGAGCCUGGUUAGUACCUGGAUAGGUGGUAGCUUCGGAAUACCAGGUGUUGUAA